GGAGAGUUGUCCGAGCUGGCCGAAGGAGCAGCAUUGGAAAUGCUGUAUACGGGUUAAAGCCUGUAUCAAGGGUUCGAAUCCCUURCUCUCCG
This 92-nucleotide transfer RNA is filed under the name Limosilactobacillus fermentum. RNAcentral's name for it is "Lactobacillus fermentum tRNA-Ser". It matches the Rfam family "tRNA". From Rfam's summary of the family: Transfer RNA (tRNA) molecules are approximately 80 nucleotides in length. Their secondary structure includes four short double-helical elements and three loops (D, anti-codon, and T loops). Lineage: Bacteria; Bacillati; Bacillota; Bacilli; Lactobacillales; Lactobacillaceae. The record is from RNAcentral.